UAGAUGCGAGAGUAGAGCAUAUCAAUAAGCGGAGGAAAAGAAACUAACAAGGAUUCCCCUAGUAACGGCGAGUGAAGCGGGAAGAGCUCAAAUUUGAAAUCUUCAAGGUUUGACCUUGACGAAUUGUAGUUUAAAGAAGUGUUUUCGGUUAGAGGAGUAGUAAAAGUUCUUUGGAAUAGGACAUCAUAGAGGGUGAGAAUCCCGUAUUUGACUAUUCUUUCUAGCUUUGUGAUACACUUUCCAACGAGUCGGAUUGUUUGGGAAUGCAGUCCAAAAUGGGUGGUAAAUUUCAUCUAAAGCUAAAUAUUGGCGAAGAGACCGAUAGCGAACAAGUACCGUGAGGGAAAGAUGAAAAGAACUUUGAAAAGAGAGUUAAACAGGUACGUGAAAUUGUCAAAAGGGAAGCGUUUGACACCAGUGUUGUUUUUCCGAAAAUCAAUUAAAAAUUGAUUCAUGCCAGGUUGUAUUGACCUUAUCAGCUUGCAAUUUGGUUUUGGGUCUCUUUUUGAUUGCACUUUUCGGUUAACAAGUCAAGCAUCAAUUUCCUUUGCUGUAAAAAGGUAAGAGGAAGGUGGCUUCAAUUUCGGUUGAAGUGUUUAUAGCCUUUUAUCUCUGCAGUCGGGGAGAUUGAGGUCUGCAGCGUAGAUCCUUCGGGGCUAGAUACAUUUAUGCUAAGUUAUAGCUUUUCAUAGACAACUUGUUGACUAUGUUUAGUCAUGUAGCUUACUCGUUAGUGCUAUUUUACCUAGCGCUUAGGAUGUUGACACACGCGCGUGCUCG
This 780-nucleotide ribosomal RNA is filed under the name uncultured Neocallimastigales. RNAcentral describes it as "partial large subunit ribosomal RNA". It matches the Rfam family "Eukaryotic large subunit ribosomal RNA", at positions 22 to 628 of the family's 3401-position model. The record is from RNAcentral. Lineage: Eukaryota; Fungi; Neocallimastigomycota; Neocallimastigomycetes; Neocallimastigales.